GUUAAUGUAGCUUAAUGAACAAAGCAAGGCACUGAAAAUGCCUAGAUGAGUCUCACGACUCCAUAAACA
Molecule: transfer RNA, 69 nt
Filed under: Lyroderma lyra (Indian false vampire)
Lineage: Eukaryota; Metazoa; Chordata; Mammalia; Chiroptera; Megadermatidae
Description: tRNA-Phe
Rfam family: tRNA
About the family: Transfer RNA (tRNA) molecules are approximately 80 nucleotides in length. Their secondary structure includes four short double-helical elements and three loops (D, anti-codon, and T loops). Further hydrogen bonds mediate the characteristic L-shaped molecular structure. tRNAs have two regions of fundamental functional importance: the anti-codon, which is responsible for specific mRNA codon recognition, and the 3' end, to which the tRNAs corresponding amino acid is attached (by aminoacyl-tRNA synthetases). tRNAs cope with the degeneracy of the genetic code in two manners: having more than one tRNA (with a specific anti-codon) for a particular amino acid; and 'wobble' base-pairing, i.e. permitting non-standard base-pairing at the 3rd anti-codon position.
Source: RNAcentral